This is a small nucleolar RNA of Malania oleifera, 106 nucleotides long. The record is from RefSeq and is a predicted model, not a curated record. Lineage: Eukaryota; Viridiplantae; Streptophyta; Magnoliopsida; Santalales; Ximeniaceae.
ACCUGAUGAUGUGGGCACUUACAAAGUCGGUCCCUGAUACGCUCCUAGGUCUCAAAGAAAAGUUCCCCAUCCAUUUGUUUGAAACUUGUGAUUGCCUUUCGCAACU